Molecule: ribosomal RNA, 120 nt
Filed under: Paralichthys olivaceus (Japanese flounder)
Lineage: Eukaryota; Metazoa; Chordata; Actinopteri; Pleuronectiformes; Paralichthyidae
Source: RNAcentral
GCUUACGGCCAUACCACCCUGAACACGCCCGAUCUCGUCCGAUCUCGGAAGCUAAGCAGGGUCGGGCCUGGUUAGUACUUGGAUGGGAGACCGCCUGGGAAUACCAGGUGCUGUAAGCUU